This 264-nucleotide ribosomal RNA is filed under the name uncultured bacterium. RNAcentral's name for it is "partial 16S ribosomal RNA". It matches the Rfam family "Bacterial small subunit ribosomal RNA", at positions 355 to 636 of the family's 1533-position model. The record is from RNAcentral.
UAGGGAAUAUUAGUAAUGGGCGAAAGCCUGAACUAGCAACGCCGCGUGUGCGAAGAAGGCCUUCGGGUUGUAAAGCACUUUUUGAGAGGAUGAGGAAGGACGGUACUCUCAGAAUAAGUCUCGGCUAACUACGUGCCAGCAGCCGCGGUAACACGUAGGAGGCGAACGUUAUCCGGAUUUACUGGGCGUAAAGCGCGUGUAGGUGGUUUGGUAAGUAGGGCGUGGAAGCUCCUGGCUCAACUGGGAGAGACGGUUCUAAACUGC